ACGCAGGCUGCCCUUUCUUUCUCAUAGCCUCUGAGAUUUGUCUCAUGAUGUUCCUUCAGCUAGGGAUGCCCUUCCCCACUUUCUCUACCUAAAAAGCUGACACCCAUCCUCAUGGCCUUCCUGACGUGCCACCUCUGUGAUUGUCUUGGAGUAGCCCUUGGCUCAGGCAGGAUUAAGCUACCUCCUUUGCGUUCCUACAUCAUUUUUUUAACAGGCUGAGUAGUAUUAAGGACCACUGAUGCCUCUUCUUUCUCCCCCUUUGUCCACAAGACUCCAACUGCCUUGUGUCUAUCUCCCAAAAGUGCACCUUGCAGUGCCCAUAGUAGGUGCUUAUGGGUUAAGGAUCUGGCAUUUCCAUGAGCUGUGGUGUGGCUCACACAGACACAGUUCAGAUCCCGCGUUGCUGCGGCUCUGGCAUAGGCUGGUGGCUACAGCUCCGAUUGGACCCCUAGCCUGGGAAUCUCCAUAUGCNAAAAAAAAAAAAAAAAAAAAAAAAAAAAAAUCACAAAGGUGAGCCCUUACUCCAUCACUGACCAACCCCACCCCAUUAAGGUUUAGCCGCACCUGGUCAGUGUUACAAGAUAUGCUAUAUACCCUGCCCCAGACCUACUUCCUCAGACCUUUGGGGUAGAGUAGGCAUUUGUAACAACUGCCCAAAAUUUGACAGUCACUUUUCUGAUUAUGGAUCAGAUUAACUGAGCAUAUUAGUUGCCAGUCACCCUUGUAGGUGCUGAGGAUGCAAAGGUAGCAGCAUGGACCUGGGCCUCCCAGGGGGGGUGCGUCACAUCAGUAGCAUCAGUGAAGAGCUCAAAGGGGUACUGACUUUCCACUCCUUUCAGGGCGGAACACCUUCAAAGGAUUCCAACAGUGGCUCCCUAAUAGCAAAUGUAAUGGGGAUGUGGUGGGAUCAGGCUUGACAAAGAGGAUUCCCAGGUCAUCCUUGUUACUCCAGGAGUCGCCUCCUGGGAUGAGGCAUGGGAGGCCUUGGGUGAUAGGAAGAAAGUGGCUGGCACCUCCACUUUUCCCAUUAUUUUCCCCUAUUCUUGCCUUUCUGAACCCACAAGCUCUCUUAAUGCCCAGAAUUAAACUUUCUGUAAGAGGCAAAGUGUUUCUGGCUAGAUCAGGCAGGGAAAGGCCUUGACCUAGGGACUUCUGGCCUAUCCAGCUGUGGGUUGUAGUUGCCUCCUACAGCUCGGCCUCAGGGCCCUGAGCAGCCUCACUCAGAAAAGUUACUCGCCCUUGUUGUACUGCUUCUUGAAAAUAUAUUUUCCUAUUUUCAGUAUUCCUAACACCAUUUUAUUAUUUCCAGACCCAAGACUGCUGGCAAGACUUGGGUGACCUGGCAUGGUGGCAGUUGAGAACCUGGCCUUUUUUAGUUCGUUUGUCACCUCUCAAACUAUUCUACAUCUCUUUUACUGCACCUCUCUGUGCUAAAGGACUAAUUAGAUAUCGAGAUAAAAAGAGUCCCUGUUACUACUGUCAAGGAACUCCUAGGCCAGGAGUGACACUAGACAGAAACAAGAAAAAAUGAAAUAAAUAUGCAAAAAUAAAGCAUUCAGAUUAUGCAGACAGUUUCAAUAGAUGCAUCAUUAAAUGUUAGUAGUAGGCCCUGGCCCAGUUUUGCAGGUGACUCUCAAACAGGAAGCUGGUGUACCCACAAGCCACAGAUCUAUCUAAAAAAGUGAUUACAGGAGUUCCCAUCGUGGCUCAGCAGAAACAAAUCUGACUAGCAUCUUCGAGGAUGCAGGUUCAACCCCUGGCCUUGCUCAGUUGGUCAAGGAUCUAGCAUUGCGUGAGCUUCGGUAUAGGUCGCGGACGAGGCUUGGAUCUGACAUUGCUGUGCCUGUGGCAUAGGUCAGCAGCUACAGAUCCGAUUCAGCCCCUAGCCUGGGAACCUCCAUAUGCUGAGGGUGUGGCCCUAAAAAGCAAAUAAAGUAAAAGUGAUUGCAGUGAAAUCGUCUUUAAUGGCAUGAACAAUGUACAAGGGAUGUGGCCUUCAUCAAGUCUCUGGGCGUGUGCAGAUUUUCUCUCUGAUGGCGGAAGCUGAUGUUAGUAAAUUCAACGGAAGACUGACUUUUAGUAGACAUAUCCCUGGCUCUGAAGUUUUCCCCUCUUAGGUUAUUCUCUUGGCCAAAAUGAAAUGAUCUCUCACGUAAAGUGAAUCAGUGUCAUCAUUCUUUUUUCCCCAAAUAUUUACUGCGUGCAUGGAGCCUGUGUACCUUGGCUGUCCUGUACCAUAUAUAAUAUUUUAAACAUCUUUUUCCACUUUAACCUGUUAACGUUCACAACUGUUCACUUGGGUGUACUGGGCAACAGGCUAGGAGCUAAGGGUGUGUAAUUACCCCCCGAGUCCUCACCAUACUGAAGUAGCAUGUGCCAGCAACAUUUUACAGAUGAGACAGUUGAAGCCCAGAAAAGUCACUUCCCCUGCGGUCACACAGCUAACUGAGAACAGAAACAGAAUUUGAAUUAAGGAUCAUGUGACCCCAACCAGCGGCAUCCAUCACCUCACUGAAUACUGCUUCCCUGUGAAUAUGAACAAUGAAUGGGACACAUAUCAUAAAAUAGGGGCCCUGGAUAGGACUCGAGAGGUCAUCUGGGCCUGUCCCUUAAUUCCUCCUGUAAGGAAAUUGGGGGCCAGAGUUAUGGAAGAUAAUUAAGUCAGGGGAACUCCACCUAAAAUUCAUAUUUAAGUGCCUUUUAGGAUUCUCCUUCGCAUUUAACAAUAACCCUAUCUUAAUCAUCUCUUUGAGUGAUGAAAAAAAUGCAUCUGUGAGAAUAAUGAUUUUUUUUAAUGUUUUUCUGAUAAUGCUAUCUAUAGUUCAUUAGCUUUUAUUUCCCAGGUUGUUCACAUUCUUUGCUUUAGAUGAUGUAAGCCAAGUUUCAAACUUUUAUGUAUAGAGAGAUCACCCAAGAUUUAGCAUGCAUCACAUGGGGCCUGGAGGCUCUGUGGGUCUAACCACCUUCCAGGUGAUGCUUCUGGUUGGUGGACUAUGCUUUAAGUGGGAUGGAUUCGAGCAGGGUUUGCAAAAACCUUUUCAGCUUCUUUUCUUUGUAGGACGUAUCUCCAGGAAUCCAGGUCCCUGGUAAGUGGUGCUGUAGCCCACUAAGAGCUAGCCAGGUAUUGGUUAAGAUAAUUUCCUUAGGUACUUACAGAGGCAUCUGUCCUCCUGAACUUUUUGGAGGGAGCUUUUUAGGGCCACACCUGUGGCAUAUGGCGGUUCCCAGGCUAGGGGUCAAAUCGGAGCUACAGCUGCCAGCCACAGCCACUGCCACAGCCACAGCAACAUAGGAUUCAAGCUGCGUCUACAACCUCUACCCCAGCUCACGGCAAUGCCAUAUCCCUAACCCACUGAGCAAGGUCAGGGAUCAAACCUGCAUCCUCAUGGAUGCUAGUCAGAUUCGUUAACCGCUGAGUCACGAUGGGAACUCCAUGUCCUCCUGAACUUUUCUCCUGAGCUUAGCCUGAAGUACCAUCUCUCUAGGUGUGGGGUUUUAGGGAGAAGGCACAUUUAGAGGCUGGAAAGUCAGGGUUGAGGAUUGCAAGAUGCAGGAGCAUUGAGAAUAUCUUUGGUGCAGAGUUGUGUUCGCAGCAUCAAGCAGAGUUGGGGUGAUGCCAGAAGUGAUCUGUUUAGGCUAAUGACAAAGAGCAAGGUUGCCAGGCAACCCUUGGUUCAAGUAUCAACUUCACCACUAGUCAACCGUGAGUCUUUGGUGCAAGUCACUACCCUCAGACUUAGUUUGCUUUUCUGCAGGUGGGGUUGCAACCAUUAUUUACCUCAUGGUGCUUCAUUAAUAAUGCCUGUGUAUAGCACAUGCUGUGUGGUCUGUUCACCUCUUGGGACCAUAGGAACUAUCUCUUGACUAAGAGGAUAAAAGUGCUUUAAAGUGUCUCAGACUUCAAUUGAGCUAAAAAAGUCUCUCUUGUGGUGAUUCUCCAGGAGCUGCUUUAAUGAGUAGAUAAAAAUGAUUUGUAAAUAGCACGUUACACUUUUGCAUGUAAAUGGUGUUUAUCUUCCUGGAAAUCAUUUAAGUAGAAUAGCUGGUCCAACUUAUUGGUCUACCUGGCUUUUUCUAAUUCCUCAGAUGAAAAGGGGUGUUACCCAGUUUUGCAGGGCUUUGGGGUGGUUUUUUCAUCCUUUUUUUUCGAAAGGCUGCACCUACGACCUAUGGAGUUUCUAGCUGGGGGUCCUAUUAGAGCUACAGCUGUCAGCCUACACCACAGCCACACAACUCAGGAUCUGAGCUGCAUCAGCGACCUAUACCACAGCUCAUGGCAAUGCUGGAUCCUUUAACCCAAUGAGUGAGGCCAGGGGUUGAACCCAUGUCCUCAAGGAUGCUAAUCGGAUUCGUAACCCACUGAGGCACAACAGGAACUCCCAUUGACCAGUUUUAUGUAGAAGAUCUUGAGAUGUAUUUCCCCUUACUCAUUGUUAAGUUGAAGACACACAGGAGUGACAUAGAGCUGGAUUGGGGACUUUUGGUCUUCAGUAACACUGAGUUCUCCUGAUAUCUUACACUCAUCAUCUAUUUUACCAACCCAGAAGGAUCCCUUCCCACUUCUGCCUCAACCAUCACAGCUUCUGGAUUGGCCAAGUCCAAGUAGAAACAGCUCACAGAAGCUGUGGCCUUAAGGCCAGAGAGACUGGCACUGAAUAGGCUUUCUCCUCAGAGGAUGGAGAUAGGGGUUUCUCAGCUCUGUGGAACUUUCAAAGACGCCUUGGAAUUUUUACUCUCUUGCCCCACUGGUGCCUCUUAGUUCUAAAUACUUGCUCCUCUGUUCCUCUUCAGCUGCUGCUGCGGGUGAUGACAGCAGCCAUUGCUUGUGAGAUGCCAGGUGCUGGGUGAGUCCUCUGCACGCAUUAGCUCCUGUGGUCUAAGACACGGGGCCAUGGGCUGGAGACCAUGGUUUUCCGAAAGCAGAAGUGAGGGUCAGAAGAAUCAGGCUUGUCACACAGCUGCUUGGUGGCAGAGCUGACACUUGAACUCAAAUUGGUCACUUUCAAAGACCAUCCUCUUAAUCCCUCUGCUCUCUUGCCUCCCUACCACAGGGAAAUUAUCUUCCUUUUGAUGUCCAUGCCUCAGAAAAUGAGGACAAAUACAGAUGGUUUCUUCUUGACUUAUGUUCCUCUUAUCACAUUUCAGGGGUAUCGUUAGUGCCGGGGUUCUGGUGGUAUCUAACCCUGCCUGGCAUCUCUCCUUUGCCUUCCUGGCGGUAUGGCCAAAUGGAUGGGAGAGGAGACAGUGAUGGACAAGGGCAGUGGGUGGACCCAAGGAGGGGCUGGAUAACCUAAGAAAGGCUGAGAGAGGGUUUGCUAUAAGAUGUGCUCUCUGUGAGCACCAUGCUGACUGUGACUGCUGGGAUUUACCCAGGGGUAUCAUCAUCCAAAAGGAAGAUCAUGGGCACCAGAGCCAUAGAAACCAGGAAAAGGACCCAGGCCUGCUACUUGCAAAAAGGCUCGCUGAGCCUCAAUUUCCUAAUUUGUCAGUGGGGAUAAUGAUACCAACUUGGCAAGUUUGCUGUAAGGAAUACAAAACUAUAUGCAAACCCCUUUUCAUAUAAUAGAUGCUCAAUAAAAGGGAGCCAUUAUUUACUUUCAUUAUAUCAGAGGGAAAACUCCUAGUGCAACAGUUCAGACUCAACCUUUUGCAUCACCAUGUUCUCAGCACCAGCUGUAUACUAUGGGAGGGGGACGCAGAAUGUAAAGGAUGUGAAAAUAAUUCCUGAUCCCUUGGUUCUGUGAUUUCGCACAGCUUUGGCUGUAUAGUCAAUGUGUGUAUUUCUCUGUCAGCUCUCUUCCCUACUUCCUCCCCGCUCCCAGACCAAAAAAAAAAAAAAAA
This 5841-nucleotide long non-coding RNA is filed under the name Sus scrofa (pig). RNAcentral's name for it is "lncRNA (ENSSSCG00035068427.1)". The record is from RNAcentral. Lineage: Eukaryota; Metazoa; Chordata; Mammalia; Artiodactyla; Suidae.